AUCGCUUCUCGGCCUUUUGGCUAAGAUCGAGUGUAGUGUCGUUCUUGUCAGUUUAAUAAUAAAAUGAAUAUACUUUACAGAUAGGACUUAAAAUACAUUAUAACUUCAAGCCUGCUAAUCUCAGAAAACAUGCUAAUUUUUUCCUUGCCCUCAAAAAUUCUAGGCACUCUAAAGAUGUUUAUU
Small nuclear RNA from Suricata suricatta (meerkat), 183 nucleotides. Its record names the gene U2. It matches the Rfam family "U2 spliceosomal RNA". Rfam says of the family: U2 is a small nuclear RNA (snRNA) component of the spliceosome (involved in pre-mRNA splicing). Complementary binding between U2 snRNA (in an area lying towards the 5' end but 3' to hairpin I) and the branchpoint sequence (BPS) of the intron results the bulging out of an unpaired adenosine, on the BPS, which initiates a nucleophilic attack at the intronic 5' splice site, thus starting the first of two transesterification reactions that mediate splicing. NCBI's taxonomy places the organism in Eukaryota, Metazoa, Chordata, Mammalia, Carnivora, Herpestidae. The record is from Ensembl.